GAGCCAUUAGCUCAGCUGGUAGAGCAUCUGACUUUUAAUCAGAGGGUCGGAGGUUCGAAUCCUCCAUGGCUCACCA
RNAcentral lists this transfer RNA (76 nucleotides) under Salipaludibacillus agaradhaerens. RNAcentral describes it as "tRNA-Lys". It matches the Rfam family "tRNA". From Rfam's summary of the family: Transfer RNA (tRNA) molecules are approximately 80 nucleotides in length. Their secondary structure includes four short double-helical elements and three loops (D, anti-codon, and T loops). Further hydrogen bonds mediate the characteristic L-shaped molecular structure. tRNAs have two regions of fundamental functional importance: the anti-codon, which is responsible for specific mRNA codon recognition, and the 3' end, to which the tRNAs corresponding amino acid is attached (by aminoacyl-tRNA synthetases). tRNAs cope with the degeneracy of the genetic code in two manners: having more than one tRNA (with a specific anti-codon) for a particular amino acid; and 'wobble' base-pairing, i.e. permitting non-standard base-pairing at the 3rd anti-codon position. Lineage: Bacteria; Bacillati; Bacillota; Bacilli; Caryophanales; Bacillaceae. The record is from RNAcentral. RNAcentral also lists the same sequence under 4 other names.